RNAcentral lists this ribosomal RNA (429 nucleotides) under uncultured bacterium. RNAcentral describes it as "bacterial SSU rRNA". It matches the Rfam family "Bacterial small subunit ribosomal RNA", at positions 355 to 775 of the family's 1533-position model. The record is from RNAcentral.
UCGAGAAUUUUUCACAAUGGACGAAAGUCUGAUGGAGCGACGCCGCGUGGAGGAUGAAGGUUUUCGGAUUGUAAACUCCUGUCACUGCAGAACAAGGCGGUGCGUAUGAAUAGUACGUGCCGUUGAUGGUAUGCGGAGAGGAAGGGACGGCUAACUCUGUGCCAGCAGCCGCGGUAAGACAGAGGUCCCGAGCGUUGUUCGGAUUCAUUGGGCGUAAAGGGUGUGUAGGAGGCCAGGUAAGUCAGGUGUGAAAUCUCAGAGCUUAACUCUGAAACUGCGCUUGAUACUGCUUGGCUAGAGGAUCGGAGGGGGUAACGGAAUUUAUGGUGUAGCAGUGAAAUGCGUAGAUAUCAUAAGGAACACCGGUGGCGAAGGCGGUUACCUGGAAGAUUCCUGACUCUGAAACACGAAAGCCAGGGGAGCAAACGG